GACGAACCGAGCGAACGUUAUUCGGAAUCACUGGGCUUAAAGGGUGCGUAGGCGGCCUGUUGCGUCCGCUGUGAAAUCCCGGGGCUCAACCCCGGGCCUGCAGUGGAUACGGGCUGGCUAGAGGCAGGCAGGGGAGAACGGAAUUCCUGGUGUAGCGGUGAAAUGCGCAGAUAUCAGGAGGAACACCGGUGGCGAAGGCGGUUCUCUGGGCCUGUACUGACGCUGAGGAGCGAAAGCGUGGGGAGCGAACAGG
This 253-nucleotide ribosomal RNA is filed under the name uncultured bacterium. Its description in RNAcentral is "partial 16S ribosomal RNA". It matches the Rfam family "Bacterial small subunit ribosomal RNA", at positions 524 to 776 of the family's 1533-position model. The record is from RNAcentral.